AGUGAACGCUGGCGGUAGGCCUAACACAUGCAAGUCGAACGGCAGCACAGUAAUAGCUUGCUCUUACGGGUGGCGAGUGGCGGACGGGUGAGGAAUACAUCGGAAUCUACUUUUUCGUGGGGGAUAACGUAGGGAAACUUACGCUAAUACCGCCUACGACCUACGGUUGAAAGCACGGGAUCUUCGGACCUUGCGCGAUUGAAUGAGCCGAUUUCGGAUUAGCUAGUUGGUGGGGUAAAGGCACACCAAGGCGACGAUCCGUAGCUGGUCUGAGAGGAUGGUCAGCCACACUGGAGCUGGGACACGGUCCAGACUACUACGGGAGGCAGCAGUGGGGAAUAUUGGACAAUGGGCGGAAGCCUGAUCCAGCCAUACCGCGUGGGUGAAGAAGGCCUUCGGGUUGUAAAGCCCUUUUGUUGGGAAAGAAAAGCAGCAGGUUAAUACCCCGCUGUUCUGACGGUACCCAAAGAAUAAGCACCGGCUAACUUCGUG
This 492-nucleotide ribosomal RNA is filed under the name uncultured bacterium. RNAcentral describes it as "partial 16S ribosomal RNA". It matches the Rfam family "Bacterial small subunit ribosomal RNA", at positions 29 to 507 of the family's 1533-position model. The record is from RNAcentral.